RNAcentral lists this ribosomal RNA (363 nucleotides) under uncultured bacterium. RNAcentral describes it as "bacterial SSU rRNA". It matches the Rfam family "Bacterial small subunit ribosomal RNA", at positions 114 to 507 of the family's 1533-position model. The record is from RNAcentral.
CGCGUGGGAACGUACCUUUUGGUUCGGAACAACACAGGGAAACUUGUGCUAAUACCGGAUAAGCCCUUACGGGGAAAGAUUUAUCGCCGAAAGAUCGGCCCGCGUCUGAUUAGCUAGUUGGUGAGGUAAUGGCUCACCAAGGCGACGAUCAGUAGCUGGUCUGAGAGGGUGACCGGCCACACUGGGACUGAGACACGGCCCAGACUCCUACGGGAGGCAGCAGUGGGGAAUAUUGCACAAUGGGCGAAAGCCUGAUGCAGCGACGCCGCGUGAGGGAUGACGGCCUUCGGGUUGUAAACCUCUUUCAGCAGGGACGAAGCGCAAGUGACGGUACCUGCAGAAGAAGCACCGGCUAACUACGUG